RNAcentral lists this ribosomal RNA (403 nucleotides) under uncultured bacterium. RNAcentral describes it as "partial 16S ribosomal RNA". It matches the Rfam family "Bacterial small subunit ribosomal RNA", at positions 28 to 526 of the family's 1533-position model. The record is from RNAcentral.
GACGAACGCUGGCGGCGUGCCUAAUACAUGCAAGUCGAACGCAGUGGGGACGGGUGCGUAACACGUGGGUAACCUCCCAUCAGAGGGGAUAACACUUGGAAACAGGUGCUAAACCGAUACUGAUUGAGUGACCCGGGGUGCAUUCGCUAGUUGGUGAGGUAACGGCUCACCAAGGCCACGAUGCAUAGCCGACCUGAGAGGGUGACCGGCCACACUGGAACUGAGACACGGCCCAGACUCCUACGGGAGGCAGCAGUAGGGAAUAUUCGGCAAUGGGCGAAAGUCUGACCGAGCAACGCCGCGUGAGUGAAGAAGGUUUUCGGAUCGUAAAACUCUUUUGGUAGAGAAGCGGUACCUAACCAGAAAGCCACGGCUAACUACGUGCCAGCAGCCGCGGUAAUUC